UUUCAUUGAACCUGGUGAAUCAUGUAUUUGUCUAAGAUAGUGUCUUUUACAUGUAAUAUGCAAUGAACAGUUGGAAAGUUGGAAGUUUCAUUUUUCUCAAAUGACACACAUAUUACGUGUUGCCUGCUUCUCCCCAUAGUACUAUUUCUUAGGCUCACUACAGAGUACUAAAUAACAUCAGCUGUAAAAUGUGGGAAGUAGAUUAGAAUGACAGGAGCUCAUCAAAUGCCUUAUCAAAUAACUAUUUGAUUUGUAGCAUGCUUGUUUCCAAUUCAACCGGACCAUUGAACACAUCAAGCAAUUUAUCCGUGGAGAAGGGAGAUAAUCCUGCAAGACCAUCAGUUGUAUUUUAUAAUGUGAAGACACAUUAAAAUACCAAUGAAGUAGCACUUACCACUCAGGCCUUUUUAGUGUUUAACAUUUAGGGAAAACCGGACCAUUGAACACAUCAAGCAAUUUAUCCGUGGAGAAGGGAGAUAAUCCUGCAAGACCAUCAGUAGUAUUUUAUAAUGUGAAGACACAUCAAAAUACCAAUGAAGUAGCACUCACAACUCAGAUCUUUUUAGUAUUUAACAUUUAGGGAAAGCUAAUAGAGAUAUCGAACAUCUAAUACUUGGCACUGCCUAAACAGGAGCACUCUAUCUUCAUUAAUGAACCUAAAAAUUAUUUAUUUGAUAUUUUGAUUCAGUAUUUACAAAGUUGGAAAAUUAAUUUAAAAUGCUUUGAGCAUUUUAUGAUUAUCCUCAUCAGAAGUUAUGCAAAUCGUUUUAAAAUGCACUCUCACAAUAUGCUGGCAGUUGCUUGUGUGUAUGCACCUAGAGGUUGUUUUAAUGGUUUGGAAAUUUGCACACUUGAAAACUGCUCCAUAGAUAUUGGCAAUGGUGGCCAAGCAAAGAGGUACUUAGGUUGUCUUGAUCAUUUAAAAUCUAUAUCAGAAAUUCGACUUGAUUGAGCCUUGUGGACACCAUGGCUCCCC
RNAcentral lists this long non-coding RNA (976 nucleotides) under Triticum aestivum (bread wheat). Its description in RNAcentral is "long non-coding RNA (TAES_LNC008744)". The record is from RNAcentral. Lineage: Eukaryota; Viridiplantae; Streptophyta; Magnoliopsida; Poales; Poaceae.